Molecule: long non-coding RNA, 255 nt
Filed under: Rattus norvegicus (Norway rat)
Lineage: Eukaryota; Metazoa; Chordata; Mammalia; Rodentia; Muridae
Description: long non-coding RNA NONRATT030335
Source: RNAcentral
AAGCUAGAGAAGUAACGAAUAGUCCUCCGCAGAUAUGACAUCUAUGACCUACAAUAAAACAUGCAUCUGUGGACGCCAAGACAACGGAACAUGGUUUUCUGGAAGUGGAGUUACAGUUUGCUGUGAGUUGCCAGUUUGCAGUUGAAGAUGUGAGAUAUCAGCUAUUCCUGCUGACAUACCUGGUGUUGGCAACAUGAAAACCCAACCAUGAUGAUUAUGGUUAUUAUACCUUUGUAAGUAAAAGCCUAAAAGAAA